CCAGACUCCUACGGGAGGCAGCAGUGGGGGAUAUUGCACAAUGGGGGAAACCCUGAUGCAGCGACGCCGCGUGGGUGAAGAAGCGCCUCGGCGCGUAAAGCCCUGUCAGCAGGGAAGAAAAUGACGGUACCUGAAGAAGAAGCCCCGGCUAACUACGUGCCAGCAGCCGCGGUAAUACGUAGGGGGCAAGCGUUAUCCGGAUUUACUGGGUGUAAAGGGAGCGUAGACGGUGAAGAAAGUCUGGAGUGAAAGCCCGCGGCUUAACCGCGGAACUGCUUUGGAAACUGUGCAGCUGGAGUGCAGGAGAGGUAAGCGGAAUUCCUAGUGUAGCGGUGAAAUGCGUAGAUAUUAGGAGGAACACCAGUGGCGAAGGCGGCUUACUGGACUGUAACUGACGUUGAGGCUCGAAAGCGUGGGGAGCAAACAGGAUUAGAUACCCUGGUA
Molecule: ribosomal RNA, 444 nt
Filed under: uncultured bacterium
Lineage: Bacteria
Description: bacterial SSU rRNA
Rfam family: Bacterial small subunit ribosomal RNA
Source: RNAcentral